This 99-nucleotide non-coding RNA is filed under the name uncultured Methanomethylophilus sp. RNAcentral's name for it is "Pyrrolysine insertion sequence mttB". It matches the Rfam family "Pyrrolysine insertion sequence mttB". Lineage: Archaea; Methanobacteriati; Thermoplasmatota; Thermoplasmata; Methanomassiliicoccales; Methanomethylophilaceae. The record is from RNAcentral.
UAGACCGACGCCAAGGUGCCCGAUGGACAGGCUGGUCACGAGAAGACCAUCACCUCCCUCCUCGCAGCACUCGCUGGCGUCAACAUGAUCUACGGAUCC